Molecule: ribosomal RNA, 494 nt
Filed under: uncultured bacterium
Lineage: Bacteria
Description: partial 16S ribosomal RNA
Rfam family: Bacterial small subunit ribosomal RNA
Source: RNAcentral
GACGAACGCUGGCGGCGUGCUUAACACAUGCAAGUCGAACGGAAAGGCCUGCUUUCCCUUGUGGAUUGCGGGUACUCGAGUGGCGAACGGGUGAGUAGCACGUGAGUGAUCUGCCCCCAACUUGGGUAUAAGCCUGGGAAACUGGGUCUAAUUCCCGAUAGGACUGCAGGGUGGUGCCUGUGGUGGAAAACGAUUUUCUAGUGGUUGGGGAUGAGCUCGCGGCCUAUCAGCUUGUUGGUGGGGUAAUGGCCUACCGAGGCGGCGACGGGGAGCCGGCCUGGGAGGGUGGACGGCCACAUUGGGACUGGGAUACGGCCCAGACGCCUACGGGAGGCAGCAGUGGGGAAUAUUGCACAAUGGGCGGAAGCCUGAUGCAGCGACGCCGCGUGGGGGAUGACGGCCUUCGGGUUGUAAACUCCUUUCGACCGCGAGGAAGCCACCUGGUUGGAAGGGUGGUGACGGUAGUGGUAGAAGAAGCACCGGCUAACUACGUG